GAUGAACGCUGGCGGCGUGCCUAAUACAUGCAAGUCGAGCGGACGGACGCGACUCUUGCUUCUCUGAUGUUAGCGGCGGACGUGUGAGUCACACGUGUAUACCCUACCUAUAAGUCUGGUAUCACUUCGGGAAACCGGAUCUUACACCGGAUAAUAUUUUGAACCGCAUGGUUCAAAAGUGAAUUACGGCCUUUCUGUCACUUAUCGAUGGUUCCCCGCUGCAUUGGCUAGUUGGUAAGGUCAAGGCUUACCAAGGCUACGAUGCGUAGCCGAACUGACAGGGUGAUCAGCCACACUGGAACGGAGACACGGUACAGAGGCAUACGGGAGGGAGCAGGAGGGAAUCUGCAGCAAGGGGCGAAAGACUGACGGAGAAACGCCGAGUGAGUGAUGAGGGUCGUCGGAUCGGAAAACACGGUUAUUAGGGAGGAACAUAUGUGUGCGUAACAGUGAACGUCUUGACGGUACAUAAGGAGAAAGCCACGGCUAACUUAGUG
RNAcentral lists this ribosomal RNA (497 nucleotides) under uncultured bacterium. RNAcentral's name for it is "partial 16S ribosomal RNA". It matches the Rfam family "Bacterial small subunit ribosomal RNA", at positions 28 to 507 of the family's 1533-position model. The record is from RNAcentral.